CAUGCUGUGCCUGAUUAAAGGGCUACUUUGAUGUAGUAGACAAGGAAAUAAUUUAACCUAGCAUGA
RNAcentral lists this transfer RNA (66 nucleotides) under Linognathus africanus. RNAcentral describes it as "tRNA-Ile". The record is from RNAcentral. Lineage: Eukaryota; Metazoa; Arthropoda; Insecta; Psocodea; Linognathidae.